CCUAUCUAUUUCCUUCCAAGAGUAAACUAUGCCAAGGGAGGAGAAGGAAGUGAUUUUAUAUCAGAGAUGCCUGGCAAACACAAGGUGAUCAAGGUCAACGUCAACAAUGAUAAGUCAGACAACUCAAUGUUGAAAUGGCUCUCUGUUUAGAGCCCAGUGACAUGUUUAUGGUCAGGCAAAGAAAAGAUGCCUUCAGAGAGAGCCACAUGGAGGAGGCACUGUCUGAACUGGAGAUGGCCUGACUGGAGAAGACCUCUGCCUACUCACUGCUGCCUGCUUUUCCAGAUCUCAGGAUGCAUGGUGAUUCCUCUAGAUGCUCUAACUUGACUCCUGAUGCUAAAUUAUUUGCCGUUGCUAAAUUCUCUCACCUAAUCUUGAAGCUGGUUCUCAUUACAUAGCUCUAUCGUUGGGAAA
This is a long non-coding RNA of Marmota flaviventris (yellow-bellied marmot), 414 nucleotides long. RefSeq lists it as uncharacterized. Lineage: Eukaryota; Metazoa; Chordata; Mammalia; Rodentia; Sciuridae. The record is from RefSeq and is a predicted model, not a curated record.